This 25-nucleotide non-coding RNA is filed under the name Mus musculus (house mouse). The record is from RNAcentral. Lineage: Eukaryota; Metazoa; Chordata; Mammalia; Rodentia; Muridae.
UAGUGCCCUUGGAUGUACUAGCAGG